GAUGAACGCUGGCGGCGUGCCUAAUACAUGCAAGUCGAGCGAACAGAUGAGGAGUUUGCUCCUCUGACGUUAGCGGCGGACGGGUGAGAAACACGUGGAUAACCUAUCUAUAAGACUGGGAUAACUUCGGGACACCGGAGAUAACACCGGAUAAUAUAUUGAACCGCAUGGUUCAAUAGUGAAAGACGGUUUUGCUGUCACUUAUAGAUGGAUCCGCGCCGCAUUAGCUAGUUGGUAUGGUAACGGCUUACCAAGGCAACGAUGCGUAGCCGACCUGAGAGGGUGACCGGCCACACUGGAACUGAGACACGGCCCAGACUCCUACGGGAGGCAGCAGUAGGGAAUCUUCGGCAAUGGGCGAAAGCCUGACGGAGCAACGCCGCGUGAGUGAUGAAGGUCUUCGGAUCGUAAAGCUCUUUUAUUAGGAAAGAACAAAUGUGUAAGUAAAUGUUCACGUCUUGACGGUACCUAAUCAGAAAGCCACGGCUAACUACGUG
This 497-nucleotide ribosomal RNA is filed under the name uncultured bacterium. RNAcentral's name for it is "partial 16S ribosomal RNA". It matches the Rfam family "Bacterial small subunit ribosomal RNA", at positions 28 to 507 of the family's 1533-position model. The record is from RNAcentral.